RNAcentral lists this long non-coding RNA (1360 nucleotides) under Homo sapiens (human). RNAcentral describes it as "HSALNT0147407". Lineage: Eukaryota; Metazoa; Chordata; Mammalia; Primates; Hominidae. The record is from RNAcentral.
AGUAGCAUCAGCACGAGGGCCACAGCGGCGGGCGCCCCUGGCGCUGCCCACUCCCCCGUGAGCCGCGGGAUGUGAACCACGAAAACCCUCACUCGCGGCGGGCCGCACGCGCGCCGAAUCCGGAGGGUCACCAAGAACCUGCGCACCAUGUUCUCGCCGCCUCCAGGGCCGAGCUCGGCAGCCGCUGCGCCGCCCUUUGGCACCAGAGAUUUGGAAAACAAGCGAAAUUAAACUAAACCGCUGCACGCCUCUGACGCGACAUCUGGACACGGCGCGGCGCUGGCGCUGCCGGAGCUGUCGACCCGGCCUGGCGCCGGACUAGGACUAUUUGCCACGACAUUUCAAAGGAUUCCAAGAGAGAAUAUUGGUGUCCAUGCUGUGAUGAUUCCUCAGCUCCUCUCAUCUGAUCUCCGUCCUGGCCCCCAUGACUUUCUUUGUGGUAGUUAGGGUGUGGUAUGUGCCACUGAGGCCCACACCUAUUGCUGUAAGUGCUGUUUGGGAAACCAUCAUCUUUCAGGUCUGUGUGAUAAAAGAAGAGCCUUGGGGAAAUGUUCUCUUCCAAAUUUAAUCUUUACAUUAUUAGAAAAUAUUUUGAUGACCUGUUUUCAAAUAUUUUCUUAUAACUUUCCAUUUUCAUGUGUUUAUUCUGACAGUUUAUUUUAUCUUGUAUUUAUAAUCACUAAGAUGUUAGUAUUGUAAUAUUAAUAUUACAUGAUUUAAAUUAGGAAAAAUGUGUUUUCUAUUACAAAAUGGAUAGUGGAUAAUUUAAGUAUAGAAAGUAAUAUUUUCUAUAUGGGACUAUUUCACUCUCUGUAAUAUCCUGAAUUCUAAUUCCCACUGUAGUGAGCUAUAACUUUACUAAUCAGUUUUCUUACAAUCGAUUUUAAGUCUAUUUUGUUAGAUCUAAAGACAUAAAGCCAAAAGUUCUUCUUGAAGAGAAGCACAUUUCAGUUACGUUUAUAACUUGAAAUAUCUGGUUUUACUCAAAACUCACAUGUCAUACUGAAAAACAGAAGGGAGAUGUUGUCUUUUCUUGAGGAGAGACUUCUCUGCAGUUAAACAGCUCACCACAUGUUUAGAGUACAUAGACAAUACACUUCCUCUUUUGUAAUGUAGAUUUCAGCUUUUUGCUUGUAGAAUUAUCAUUGGCGUGGAGGUUAUACAGGGGAAGUAGUGAAAAAUGUAGCCAAUACCAGGAACCUUAGGAAGUGUCUGAACUUCAUCUUUUCUGUGUUCCUUUGCCCUUAGGGGGUCAGUGUAAGAGUUUGGGCUAGGAAGAGAUUGCUUCUUUUACUCUAUUUAGUUUGUACUUCCUAUCUGGGUAUUUGACAAUAAAUGACUCAUUCUCUUUGUUUGCCCU